This 23-nucleotide transfer RNA is filed under the name Pristimantis calcarulatus (San Antonio robber frog). RNAcentral describes it as "partial tRNA-Phe". Lineage: Eukaryota; Metazoa; Chordata; Amphibia; Anura; Strabomantidae. The record is from RNAcentral.
CGGAUCCUUAUAAAUCCUUUAGG